GAGGAAGUAAAAGUCGUAACAAGGUUUCCGUAGGUGAACCUGCGGAAGGAUCAUUAUUGAUUGCGAAUGGUUGUCUGCAGUGCUGGCCGGGUCACUCUGGCAAGUGCACGUAGAUGGCUUUCAUCCAAUACCCUGUGCACCUUUGGCCUCUUGCUAGCUUCGGCCAGCAGAGGAUUUUACACCCACUCGAAUGUAAUGAAAUUACUGUUGUGCACACGCACUACUAUACAACUUUCAACAACGGAUCUCUUGGCUCUCGCAUCGAUGAAGAACGCAGCGAAAUGCGAUAAGUAAUGUGAAUUGCAGAAUUCAGUGAAUCAUCGAAUCUUUGAACGCACCUUGCACCCUUUGGUAUUCCGAAGGGUAUGCUCGUUUGAGUGUCAUUGUACUCUCACACUUCCGAUCGUUUGGAUCGGGAGCGGUGGACUUGGGUGUUGCUGCUGUACUGUGGCUCACCUUAAAUGCAGUAGUGCAACUCUCGGUUGGACAUAGUACGGCGUGAUAAGUGUCUUCGCCGGCACCUCCUCACAGAGGGUGGCCGAUCGGGAGCUCUGUGCUUCAAACCGUCUUCGGACAACAUCUGACAACUUGACCUCAAAUCGAGUAGGACUACCCGCUGAACUUAAGCAUAUCAAUAAGCGGAGGAAAAGAAACUAACAAGGAUUCCCCUAGUAACGGCGAGUGAAGAGGGAAGAGCUCAAAUUUUGAAUCUGGCGUCUCUGGCGUCCGAAUUGUAAUCUAGAGAAGUGUUUUCCGUGACGGACCGUGCACAAGUCUCCUGGAAUGGAGCGUCAUAGAGGGUGAGAAUCCCGUAUAUGGCAUGGACUCCCGUUGCUCUGUGAUACACUCUCGACGAGUCGAGUUGUUUGGGAAUGCAGCUCCAAAUGGGUGGUAAAUGCCAUCUAAAGCUAAAUAUUGGCGAGAGACCGAUAGCGAACAAGUACCGUGAGGGAAAGAUGAAAAGCACUUUGGAAAGAGAGUGAAACAGUACGUGAAAUUGUUGAAAGGGAAACGCUUGAAGCCAGUCGCGCCGUUCGGGAUUCAGCCUUGCUUCUGCUCGGUUUACUUCCCGUUGGGUGGGUCAACAUCAGUUUCGAUCGGAGGAGAAAGGCUUGGGGAAGGUAGCAGCAUYCGUGCUGUGUUAUAGCCCCCUGUUGUAUACUUCGAUUGGGACUGAGGACCGCAGCACGCCUCUGGCCGGGGUUCGCCCACGUACGUGCUUAGGAUGUUGGCAUAAUGGCUUUAAGCGACCCGUCUUGAAACACGGACCAA
This 1272-nucleotide ribosomal RNA is filed under the name Sebacina epigaea. RNAcentral's name for it is "eukaryotic LSU rRNA". The stretch from base 590 to 1272 matches the Rfam family "Eukaryotic large subunit ribosomal RNA", at positions 1 to 669 of the family's 3401-position model. Lineage: Eukaryota; Fungi; Basidiomycota; Agaricomycetes; Sebacinales; Sebacinaceae. The record is from RNAcentral.